GACGAACGCUGGCGGCGUGCUUAACACAUGCAAGUCGAACGGAAAGGCCCUGCUUUUGUGGUGUGCUCGAGUGGCGAACGGGUGAGUAACACGUGAGUAACCUGCCCUUGACUUUGGGAUAACUUCAGGAAACUGGGGCUAAUACCGGAUAGGAGCUCCUGCUGCAUGGUGGGGGUUGGAAAGUUUCGGCGGGUGGGGAUGGACUCGCGGCUUAUCAGCUUGUUGGUGGGGUAGUGGCUUACCAAGGCUUUGACGGGUAGCCGGCCUGGGAGGGUGACCGGCCACAUUGGGCCUGAGAUACGGCCCAGACUCCUACGGGAGGCAGCAGUGGGGAAUAUUGCACAAUGGGCGGAAGCCUGAUGAAGCAACGCCGCGUGCGGGAUGACGGCCUUCGGGUUGUAAACCGCUUUCGCCUGUGACGAAGCGUGAGUGACGGUAAUGGGUAAAGAAGCACCGGCUAACUACGUG
RNAcentral lists this ribosomal RNA (468 nucleotides) under uncultured bacterium. RNAcentral's name for it is "partial 16S ribosomal RNA". It matches the Rfam family "Bacterial small subunit ribosomal RNA", at positions 28 to 507 of the family's 1533-position model. The record is from RNAcentral.